This 1372-nucleotide ribosomal RNA is filed under the name uncultured bacterium. Its description in RNAcentral is "bacterial SSU rRNA". It matches the Rfam family "Bacterial small subunit ribosomal RNA", at positions 28 to 1381 of the family's 1533-position model. The record is from RNAcentral.
GAUGAACGCUGGCGGCGUGCCUAAUACAUGCAAGUCGAGCGAACGGACGAGAAGCUUGCUUCUCUGAUGUUAGCGGCGGACGGGUGAGUAACACGUGGAUAACCUACCUAUAAGACUGGGAUAACUUCGGGAAACCGGAGCUAAUACCGGAUAAUAUUUUGAACCGCAUGGUUCAAAAGUGAAAGACGGUCUUGCUGUCACUUAUAGAUGGAUCCGCGCUGCAUUAGCUAGUUGGUAAGGUAACGGCUUACCAAGGCAACGAUGCAUAGCCGACCUGAGAGGGUGAUCGGCCACACUGGAACUGAGACACGGUCCAGACUCCUACGGGAGGCAGCAGUAGGGAAUCUUCCGCAAUGGGCGAAAGCCUGACGGAGCAACGCCGCGUGAGUGAUGAAGGUCUUCGGAUCGUAAAACUCUGUUAUUAGGGAAGAACAUAUGUGUAAGUAACUGCGCACAUCUUGACGGUACCUAAUCAGAAAGCCACGGCUAACUACUUGCCAGCAGCCGCGGUAAUACGUAGGUGGCAAGCGUUAUCCGGAAUUAUUGGGCGUAAAGCGCGCGUAGGCGGUUUUUUAAGUCUGAUGUGAAAGCCCACGGCUCAACCGUGGAGGGUCAUUGGAAACUGGAAAACUUGAGUGCAGAAGAGGAAAGUGGAAUUCCAUGUGUAGCGGUGAAAUGCGCAGAGAUAUGGAGGAACACCAGUGGCGAAGGCGACUUUCUGGUCUGUAACUGACGCUGAUGUGCGAAAGCGUGGGGAUCAAACAGGAUUAGAUACCCUGGUAGUCCACGCCGUAAACGAUGAGUGCUAAGUGUUAGGGGGUUUCCGCCCCUUAGUGCUGCAGCUAACGCAUUAAGCACUCCGCCUGGGGAGUACGACCGCAAGGUUGAAACUCAAAGGAAUUGACGGGGACCCGCACAAGCGGUGGAGCAUGUGGUUUAAUUCGAAGCAACGCGAAGAACCUUACCAAAUCUUGACAUCCUUUGACAACUCUAGAGAUAGAGCCUUCCCCUUCGGGGGACAAAGUGACAGGUGGUGCAUGGUUGUCGUCAGCUCGUGUCGUGAGAUGUUGGGUUAAGUCCCGCAACGAGCGCAACCCUUAAGCUUAGUUGCCAUCAUUAAGUUGGGCACUCUAAGUUGACUGCCGGUGACAAACCGGAGGAAGGUGGGGAUGACGUCAAAUCAUCAUGCCCCUUAUGAUUUGGGCUACACACGUGCUACAAUGGACAAUACAAAGGGCAGCGAAACCGCGAGGUCAAGCAAAUCCCAUAAAGUUGUUCUCAGUUCGGAUUGUAGUCUGCAACUCGACUACAUGAAGCUGGAAUCGCUAGUAAUCGUAGAUCAGCAUGCUACGGUGAAUACGUUCCCGGGUCU